This 45-nucleotide non-coding RNA is filed under the name Schistosoma mansoni. The record is from RNAcentral. Lineage: Eukaryota; Metazoa; Platyhelminthes; Trematoda; Strigeidida; Schistosomatidae.
AUUCAGCUGACGAGUCUCAAAUAGGACGAAACGUGCGUCUUGGAU